This 1005-nucleotide long non-coding RNA is filed under the name Calidris pugnax (ruff). RNAcentral's name for it is "lncRNA (ENSCPUG00000011818.1)". The record is from RNAcentral. Lineage: Eukaryota; Metazoa; Chordata; Aves; Charadriiformes; Scolopacidae.
AAAAUUCCCUGCCUCUGAUGUAAACAGCAGAAAGAAAAAGUCAUCUGGAAGGACAGGAUGAUUCACGCUGAGGACCUGACUUGUAAUAUUCAUCAGUGUUGAAACUGUCUCUGCAAGAUGACUACAUGUGAAAGCAGCACCAGCGAAAUCCCAGCUUCUGCCACGAGAAGUAUCAUUAACGGCAGAGCGGUGUGGUGAGACUCCAGUGCCACAACCCUUGCUCGGGUGAGUAAUCGUAAGUCAUCCGACCAGUCCCAGCUAAAACAGCAGCGUCAUUCAGGUUGCGUGCCACCGUGGGUUCUCCCAGCGGAAGAGGAGCCGAGCCCAUUACGUGACUGCUCCGUCAUCCCUAGGAGGUUUCCCGGCUCCUCGGCGGAGGGGAGCCCUGAUGAGAGCGACUCUCCCUCAGCGCCAGGGGCAGGUUGGACUUUGACUCCAAGCAGAGCAGACACGAGAGUCCUCUGGCUGAGGCGGCGGUGACUAGUCAGCUGCACAGCCUCCUGACCUCACGUUAACCGGUGCUGCACGUGAGCGCCUUGGGCCAAAUGCUGCUCUGGUGCAAAUUCAGUGACCUAGCCGAGCUGUCCCCGGGGGGAAACGGUGCCCAACGUGUUCAUCGGUUUCCUGAGGUUGGGAGUGGCAAGCGAUAUUAGGUUUAGAUUUGCCCAACUCCUUCUUUUCCCAGCUCUCUCUCCAUUUGAAACACCAUCCUGCUUCAGGAGCAUCAUGCAAUCUCAGGCCGAGGUUCCCACAAUCCCAGAGAGCAUUUAUGGAGCCACACAUUUGACUGCAAUGGCGUCAAAUGAAACGUAGUCCCACAGACUGAAGUAGACAUGAGUAAUUUCUUCACCUCAUACCUGCAUCCCCUGUGCCAGUUUUCCACAUUUUAAUACAAAUGCUGGAAUUUUAUAUUCUGUGGGCACACACAUAAAGGCACACACACACACACAAAGAGCAUGUUCCGUAACAGUUAAAAGCAAGGCCCAAUAAGAACAACCAAGAAAA